This 2922-nucleotide ribosomal RNA is filed under the name Campylobacter hepaticus. RNAcentral's name for it is "23S ribosomal RNA". It matches the Rfam family "Bacterial large subunit ribosomal RNA". Lineage: Bacteria; Pseudomonadati; Campylobacterota; Epsilonproteobacteria; Campylobacterales; Campylobacteraceae. RNAcentral also lists the same sequence under 1 other name. The record is from RNAcentral.
AAAAAAGGUAAGCUAUUAAGAGCGAAUGGUGGAUGCCUUGACUGGUAAAGGCGAUGAAGGACGUACUAGACUGCGAUAAGCUACGGGGAGCUGUCAAGAAGCUUUGAUCCGUAGAUUUCCGAAUGGGGCAACCCAAUGUAUAGAGAUAUACAUUACCUAUAAUAGGAGCGAACGAGGGGAAUUGAAACAUCUUAGUACCCUUAGGAAAAGAAAUCAAUAGAGAUUACGUAAGUAGCGGCGAGCGAAAGCGUAAGAGGGCAAACCCAGUGCUUGCACUGGGGGUUGUAGGACUGCAAUGUGCAAGAGGUGCGUUUAGCACAAUAUUCUGGAAAGUAUAGCCAUAGAGGGUGAUAGUCCCGUAGGCGAAAAACAAACCUUAGCUAGCAGUAUCCUGAGUAGGGCGGGACACGAGAAAUCCUGUCUGAAGCUGGGUCGACCACGAUCCAACCCUAAAUACUAAUACCAGAUCGAUAGUGUACAAGUACCGUGAGGGAAAGGUGAAAAGAACUGAGGUGAUCAGAGUGAAAUAGAACCUAAAACCAUUUGCUUACAAUCAUUCAGAGCACUAUGUAGCAAUACAGUGUGAUGGACUGCCUUUUGCAUAAUGAGCCUGCGAGUUGUGGUGUCUGGCAAGGUUAAGCAAACGCGAAGCCGUAGCGAAAGCGAGUCUUAAUAGGGCAUUAAGUCAGAUGCUGCAGACCCGAAACGAAGUGAUCUAUCCAUGAGCAAGUUGAAGCUAGUGUAAGAACUAGUGGAGGACUGAACCCAUAGGCGUUGAAAAGCCCCGGGAUGACUUGUGGAUAGGGGUGAAAGGCCAAUCAAACUUCGUGAUAGCUGGUUCUCUCCGAAAUAUAUUUAGGUAUAGCGUUGUGUCGUAAUAUAAGGGGGUAGAGCACUGAAUGGGCUAGGGCAUACACCAAUGUACCAAACCCUAUCAAACUCCGAAUACCUUAUAUGUAAUCACAGCAGUCAGGCGGCGAGUGAUAAAAUCCGUCGUCAAGAGGGAAACAACCCAGACUACCAGCUAAGGUCCCCAAAUCUUACUUAAGUGGAAAACGAUGUGAAUUUACUUAAACAACCAGGAGGUUGGCUUAGAAGCAGCCAUCCUUUAAAGAAAGCGUAAUAGCUCACUGGUCUAGUGAAUUCGCGCGGAAAAUAUAACGGGGCUAAAGUAAGUACCGAAGCUGUAGACUUGACUUUGUCAAGUGGUAGGAGAGCGUUCUAUUAGCGUCGAAGGUAUACCGUAAGGAGUGCUGGAGUUAAUAGAAGUGAGCAUGCAGGCAUGAGUAGCGAUAAUUAAUGUGAGAAUCAUUAACGCCGUAAACCCAAGGUUUCCUACGCGAUGCUCGUCAUCGUAGGGUUAGUCGGGUCCUAAGUCGAGUCCGAAAGGGGUAGACGAUGGCAAAUUGGUUAAUAUUCCAAUACCAACAUUAGUGUGCGAUGGAAGGACGCUUAGGGCUAAGGGGGCUAGCGGAUGGAAGUGCUAGUCUAAGGAUGUAGGAGCUUAUACAGGCAAAUCCGUAUAAGAAUACUCUGAGAUCUUAAAGGCUUUUUGAAGUCUUCGGAUGGAUGGAAGAACCCCUGAUGCCGUCGAGCCAAGAAAAGUUUCUAAGUUUAGCUAAUGUUGCCCGUACCGUAAACCGACACAGGUGGGUGGGAUGAGUAUUCUAAGGCGCGUGGAAGAACUCUCUUUAAGGAACUCUGCAAAAUAGCACCGUAUCUUCGGUAUAAGGUGUGGUUCACUUCGUAUUAGGAUUUACUCCCAAAGCGAAGAAACUUACAACAAAGAGUCCCUCCCGACUGUUUACCAAAAACACAGCACUCUGCUAACUCGUAAGAGGAUGUAUAGGGUGUGACGCCUGCCCGGUGCUCGAAGGUUAAUUGAUGGGGUUAGCAUUAGCAAAGCUCUUGAUCGAAGCCCGAGUAAACGGCGGCCGUAACUAUAACGGUCCUAAGGUAGCGAAAUUCCUUGUCGGUUAAAUACCGACCUGCAUGAAUGGCGUAACGAGAUGGGAGCUGUCUCAAAGAGGGAUCCAGUGAAAUUGUAGUGGAGGUGAAAAUUCCUCCUACCCGCGGCAAGACGGAAAGACCCCGUGGACCUUUACUACAGCUUGACACUGCUACUUGGAUAAGAAUGUGCAGGAUAGGUGGGAGGCUUUGAAUAAUAAACGCCAGUUUAUUAGGAGCCAUUGUUGAGAUACCACUCUUUCUUAUUUGGGUAGCUAACCAGCUUGAGUUAUCCUCAAGUGGGACAAUGUCUGGUGGGUAGUUUGACUGGGGCGGUCGCCUCCCAAAAAAUAACGGAGGCUUACAAAGGUUGGCUCAGAACGGUUGGAAAUCGUUCGUAGAGUAUAAAGGUAUAAGCCAGCUUAACUGCAAGACACACAAGUCAAGCAGAGACGAAAGUCGGUCUUAGUGAUCCGGUGGUUCUGUGUGGAAGGGCCAUCGCUCAAAGGAUAAAAGGUACCCCGGGGAUAACAGGCUGAUCUCCCCCAAGAGCUCACAUCGACGGGGAGGUUUGGCACCUCGAUGUCGGCUCAUCGCAUCCUGGGGCUGGAGCAGGUCCCAAGGGUAUGGCUGUUCGCCAUUUAAAGCGGUACGCGAGCUGGGUUCAGAACGUCGUGAGACAGUUCGGUCCCUAUCUGCCGUGGGCGUAAGAAGAUUGAAGAGAUUUGACCCUAGUACGAGAGGACCGGGUUGAACAAACCACUGGUGUAGCUGUUGUUCUGCCAAGAGCAUCGCAGCGUAGCUAAGUUUGGAAAGGAUAAACGCUGAAAGCAUCUAAGCGUGAAGCCCACUCUAAGAUGAAUCUUCUCUAAGCUCUCAGCAAGACUAGCUGGUUGAUAGGCUGGGUGUGUAAUGGAUGAAAGUCCUUUAGCUGACCAGUACUAAUAGAGCGUUUGGCUUACUUUAUAUAAGCAU